CACACACACACACACCACAUCACACAAGGACUUUAUUUGACACCCCCGACCGAACGCAGGCAGUGUGAAAGGAAGAGGAACAUACACCUAGAGGGGAUAACAAUAUGGUAGUUUCCAUGGGUUCAAAGGAAGACAGCUCCUACCGACUGCUCCCUCGUAAAGACCUUCUUCCUUUAUCGGUCUAACAGCAUUCAAACUAGAAGAUAGUGAAAUACAGAAUGCUCCAACCAGAGAAGAAGAAGAUACAAAUGGAAGAUACCAUUGACACCGCCAUGGGGGUGUUAUCUUAUCAGUACCUGGCGUCCAAUGACAGUUUACUUUUCAACAUCACACCAACCUACUUCACCCCCCCCUGCCACCCAUAAUAGACCAGACCAUCAGCUUCACCAUCAUAGUAGCCCUCUUCAUCACCAUGGUUUCACUGGGCUGUACCAUGGAGGUGUCCAAGAUCAAGACCCAAAUCCUGAAACCUAAAGGAGUAGCCAUCGCAGUGGUGGCCCAGUUCGGAGUAAUGCCCCUCACUGUAACGGCUUUCUUCCGUUGAAGGAGAGUCGGACCAAAAUUCAGCGUGGUUGAGAAGCGGGUGUACGAGGCAGUGAAGUCAGAGGAAGCCAGCCAGCCCAGCGAUGUGGCCAUUUGAUCAGAUAGAAUUCAGAGUGACCAAAUGAUGAAAGACAAGCAUUGUAAUUUUGAAUUCCGUAAAGUGAGUGUGGAAGAGGUGAACAAAUGAUUGUUGUCUAUCAACAAUGACAAGCCACCGGGGCUCUGACAACUUGGAUGGAA
This is a long non-coding RNA of Oncorhynchus gorbuscha (pink salmon), 783 nucleotides long. RefSeq lists it as uncharacterized. Lineage: Eukaryota; Metazoa; Chordata; Actinopteri; Salmoniformes; Salmonidae. The transcript has 5 exons. The record is from RefSeq and is a predicted model, not a curated record.